RNAcentral lists this ribosomal RNA (488 nucleotides) under uncultured bacterium. Its description in RNAcentral is "partial 16S ribosomal RNA". It matches the Rfam family "Bacterial small subunit ribosomal RNA", at positions 30 to 507 of the family's 1533-position model. The record is from RNAcentral.
UGAACGCUGGCGGCAGGCCUAACACAUGCACAUCGAACGGUAACAGGAAGAAGCUUGCUUCUUUGCUGACGAGUGGCGGACGGGUGAGUAAUGUCUGGGAAACUGCCUGAUGGAGGGGGAUAACUACUGGAAACGGUAGCUAAUACCGCAUAACGUCGCAAGACCAAAGAGGGGGACCUUCGGGCCUCUUGCCAUCGGAUGUGCCCAGAUGGGAUUAGCUAGUAGGUGGGGUAACGGCUCACCUAGGCGACGAUCCCUAGCUGGUCUGAGAGGAUGACCAGCCACACUGGAACUGAGACACGGUCCAGACUCCUACGGGAGGCAGCAGUGGGGAAUAUUGCACAAUGGGCGCAAGCCUGAUGCAGCCAUGCCGCGUGUAUGAAGAAGGCCUUCGGGUUGUAAAGUACUUUCAGCGGGGAGGAAGGGAGUAAAGUUAAUACCCUUGCUCAUUGACGUUACCCGCAGAAGAAGCACCGGCUAACUCCGUG